GGACUACCCGGGUUUCUAAUCCUGUUUGAUCCCCGUGCUUUCGCGCCUCAGCGUCAGUUGUCGUCCAGAUAGCCGCCUUCGCCACCGGUGUUCCUCCUAAUAUCUACGAAUUUCACCUCUACAUUAGGAAUUCCGCUAUCCCCUCCGACACUCUAGCUAUACAGUUUCAAAGGCAAUUCUUGGGUUGAGCCCAAGGAUUUCACCCCUGACUUGAAUAGCCGCCUACGCGCGCUUUACGCCCAGUAAUUCCGAACAACGCUAGCACCCUUCGUAUUACCGCGGCUGCUGGCAC
This 292-nucleotide ribosomal RNA is filed under the name uncultured bacterium. Its description in RNAcentral is "partial 16S ribosomal RNA". The record is from RNAcentral.